GCAGACUCACUCUGUUCUUAGCUGUUCACUCCGGCUUCGAACUUUUUCUGUCUGCUACAUGAAUAUGCAGAAUAUAUCAGUUUACUAGCUUUCUAAAAGGCUGGUGUCAGUAUGUUCUGCUACAUUACA
This is a small nucleolar RNA of Anoplopoma fimbria (sablefish), 129 nucleotides long. RefSeq annotates it as small nucleolar RNA SNORA77. The record is from RefSeq and is a predicted model, not a curated record. The transcript has a single exon. Lineage: Eukaryota; Metazoa; Chordata; Actinopteri; Perciformes; Anoplopomatidae.